UAGGCAUAAAUCCAUCAAUCGAAUGGGUGUAUGGAAUCCCGUGUAGCUAGCCUGCUUAUCAGGAUAAAGAAAACAAGAUAUUAAGAAAGUCUGCCCCCAAGAGAUGAACUCCUACGGCCCUGUUCUCCUAGCUGCAACCGGUAGUCUGUUAGCUGGACUUCCUUCAUGCGCUUGUAGCUCUAUAAGGGAGGAUGCUCCCCCGUCUCUAGUAGGUAGGCUGUUCCUAUUAGCUUCUUGUUCUUGUCUGUAGGAGUAUGGAGCCUAAUGCCUUUCAUAUCCUGCAAGCUCCUAAGGAAGUUAGCUCUUGCCCUAUGGGCGUUCCUCGCUAGCUACCUAAUAGAAAGUCUAUCCUGAGGUAAGUAGCUCCCUGAAUCUGGAUGCUAGACGACGAGCUGAGUAGGAUAAAGAAUCUGUCUUCUUGUUAGGACUAGCAUUCCCUUCCUUCCCCGACCUGUUGAUCCUCGUACCUAGCUUCUUGUUAGGCAGUCCAGAGAAUCUCUUCCCUGCUCUGUCUGCUCGGGUUUCCCUGGGCUAGUUACGUUGGGGUGUAGGCGAGAGAAAAAGAACCUCCCUCUUUCUCGACCCCUCCU
This 590-nucleotide long non-coding RNA is filed under the name Actinidia chinensis (golden kiwifruit). Its description in RNAcentral is "long non-coding RNA (ACHI_LNC005130)". The record is from RNAcentral. Lineage: Eukaryota; Viridiplantae; Streptophyta; Magnoliopsida; Ericales; Actinidiaceae.